This 254-nucleotide ribosomal RNA is filed under the name uncultured bacterium. RNAcentral describes it as "partial 16S ribosomal RNA". It matches the Rfam family "Bacterial small subunit ribosomal RNA", at positions 524 to 776 of the family's 1533-position model. The record is from RNAcentral.
UACGUAGGGCGCAAGCGUUGUCCGGAAUUAUUGGGCGUAAAGGGCUCGUAGGCGGUUUGUCGCGUCGGGAGUGAAAACACCGGGCUUAACUCGGUGCUUGCUUCCGAUACGGGCAGACUAGAGGCAUGCAGGGGGAGAACGGAAUUCCUGGUGUAGCGGUGAAAUGCGCAGAUAUCAGGAGGAACACCGGUGGCGAAGGCGGUUCUCUGGGCAUGUCCUGACGCUGAGGAGCGAAAGUGUGGGGAGCGAACAGG